RNAcentral lists this long non-coding RNA (365 nucleotides) under Zonotrichia albicollis (white-throated sparrow). Its description in RNAcentral is "lncRNA (ENSZALG00000009947.1)". Lineage: Eukaryota; Metazoa; Chordata; Aves; Passeriformes; Passerellidae. The record is from RNAcentral.
AUGGCAAGCUGUGUGUGAAAAGAGAAAAUAAUGAUCAGCUGAGUUCUUAAACACUGACUGAAAACACACAUUUCACCUCAAAGAAUGAAAGUGGACACCGGGAAACCAGCAGGAACGUGACUGAAAGGAAUUCUCUGUUUACUGGGAGAGACUACAAAGGAACAGACUCCCAGAGACCUGUGUGAGACCAAGUGCCCAGGAGGAGCAGGACUGAGCUGUUUCCUUCCCAAAGUCAUUCCACACACCUGCUCCCAAAGGCAGCUCUCUGACCAGCUUGGUGCAUCAGCCCUCAGCUACGGAAUCUAAGAUCAGUCACAGUCUUCUGUGGUGCUUUGGAUAAAAGAUUGCUUUCAGCUGCAUUUUAC